Molecule: non-coding RNA, 1738 nt
Organism: Varroa destructor (honeybee mite)
Lineage: Eukaryota; Metazoa; Arthropoda; Arachnida; Mesostigmata; Varroidae
Source: RefSeq, a predicted model, not a curated record
CACUCCCAAUUGCCGUCAGUUAUUCCGGUGUGCUUUCUGUUCUUUGUUCUGUCGACGCUAACAUCAUUACCGUUACGUCCACGACGACAAACGUCAUCGCAACUGUCCCGCAUUAUGUGCGGGCUAUGAUAGGCUUUCUCUGAGCAGUUUAGUAAGCCGAGUGUGCUUGUCCACAACAACAGAUUCUCGUAGUUUUUCCGUAGCGGCUCACAUUGCUGUAGAGAUGAAACACAUGUUAUAGAUGAACUUUAACUAAAUCACCUGUCUUGUCGAUCUGUCCACCAUCUUUAUUGCUUCAAGCUGUGCUAGCUCGGUGUACAAACAAAGCAAGUGGCAAUCAAUUUACAAGCGGAAAUUGACGGAGUACCGGCUUCGAGUGAGUAGGAUUCAUACUUGUUCUUUUGCAUCCGGAGCAGGCGAAACCAGAGCGACAUUAGAAGCUGCCUGCCCGCGUGUUUCCCGCAUCGGUGAUCUCUCUGCGAACGUUGCCAGUUCUGCCAACGUUUUGCAUGCCUCUGGAGUGGUCCCGCGCUGUUCGUGGACCGGUGGCAAAGGCCUGCCCCGGUGGCCAACCGCAGCCCCCCUCAAUUGUCCUGCAUUGGACCCCGGGCAACGCGCGAGGCUUUCCAGAGGCUACCACUCGUAAACUCGAUCUGGCUCGUGCAUUCGACCUUCCUGACACCACAUCCAUUACUAUAGUUACUUCCGCCCCGGACAAUCUCAAAUCCAAAGGCUUUCGUUCGAUUCGAUUGCACGCGACUUCCGAUGCAGAUCCGGCGGACAUCUUACCAGCGAGGCCCUCGGGCAUCCGCUAUACUACUGUGCGGUAUCCUAGCCGUAUUAUUCGAUCCCUGUGCGACCUCAAAACCUCAAGACGAGUCAUCUCGAGCAGUUCAGCUGUGUUGGGAAAGGCUAAUCGAUGCCGUGCGAAACCUAAGCGAUAUCCAGACCUUCGACCCCGUUGAAAAACGAGUCAUCCGCGUGCAUGACGACGAAAGCGCUCGUCCAGCGAUCGUGAGCUCAUCGCGCCUUCUUACGGUGACCCGACGAAGCGAAGUAUACGAGGUUGUCAAUCGCAGCUCACCUGAGGGGCCUGUGAUCGACUGUUGUCGCAUUAAGUGCACACUCGAAGAACUAAUUCGUUAUGGUGCCUCCAUAGGACAUUAGACUAACAAUCAGGACCAUCACAACACGCACAACACGUAGUACACACAUCCACCUACAUAUGCCAGUUACCUUCAUCAGCAUGACAUGUUUCCACCGCCUAUCAUCUUCACUGCAUAUCAGACGUCUGUGCGUGGACGCUCCGACGGGGCAUGGACGGCUUGAAACGACCGGAUCCGAUUAUGCAUGUCUCAAAUAAGAGGGAUCAACCUAAUUUACCAUAUAUCAGUGCUAUGUAAUCUGUAUACCUAAUUUAUCUCAACACACAUACAUAUAUAUAGAUAUAAAACACUGAAUGAAUGGUCGGACAGGUUAGGGUUAUUUCGUUGUCUGACCAAAAAUCACACCUUACACCCAAGUAUUGAAUUAAUAUUAUCCAUGAUUAUUUAAGCAUUUAGCAGGCAUACCAUUAUAGUUUCUCCCGGAUUAAUUUGUAGCUCAAGUGCAAGUCCUAACAAACUGAGUAGCUCUUAAAACCCGGUUCACCGUAACCACACGAAUUCUCGUGACGGGGUGGCGCAUACAGAGUUAGUCCUUGAUUUUAUGUAGGACAUAUAUAUAUAUGUAUAUGUAU